RNAcentral lists this ribosomal RNA (253 nucleotides) under uncultured bacterium. RNAcentral's name for it is "partial 16S ribosomal RNA". It matches the Rfam family "Bacterial small subunit ribosomal RNA", at positions 524 to 776 of the family's 1533-position model. The record is from RNAcentral.
UACGAAGGGGGCUAGCGUUGCUCGGAAUCACUGGGCGUAAAGGGUGCGUAGGCGGGUUUUUAAGUCAGGGGUGAAAUCCUGGAGCUCAACUCCAGAACUGCCUUUGAUACUGAAGAUCUUGAGUCCGGGAGAGGUGAGUGGAACUGCGAGUGUAGAGGUGAAAUUCGUAGAUAUUCGCAAGAACACCGGUGGCGAAGGCGGCUCACUGGCCCGGUACUGACGCUGAGGUGCGAAAGCGUGGGGAGCAAACAGG